UAGGGAAUCUUCGGCAAUGGGGGGAACCCUGACCGAGCAACGCCGCGUGAGUGAAGAAGGUUUUCGGAUCGUAAAGCUCUGUUGUUAAGGAAGAACGUGUGUGAGAGUGGAAAGUUCACACAGUGACGGUACUUAACCAGAAAGGGACGGCUAACUACGUGCCAGCAGCCGCGGUAAUACGUAGGUCCCGAGCGUUGUCCGGAUUUAUUGGGCGUAAAGCGAGCGCAGGCGGUUAGAUAAGUCUGAAGUGAAAGGCAGUGGCUCAACCAUUGUAGGCUUUGGAAACUGUUUAACUUGAGUGCAGAAGGGGAGAGUGGAAUUCCAUGUGUAGCGGUGAAAUGCGUAGAUAUAUGGAGGAACACCGGUGGCGAAAGCGGCUCUCUGGUCUGUAACUGACGCUGAGGCUCGAAAGCGUGGGGAGCGAACAGGAUUAGAUACCCUGGUAGUCCACGCCGUAAACGAUGAGUGCUAGGUGUUAGGUCCUUCCCGGGACUUAGUGCCGCAGCUAACGCAUUAAGCACUCCGCCUGGGGAGUACGACCGCAAGGUUG
This 550-nucleotide ribosomal RNA is filed under the name uncultured bacterium. Its description in RNAcentral is "bacterial SSU rRNA". It matches the Rfam family "Bacterial small subunit ribosomal RNA", at positions 355 to 896 of the family's 1533-position model. The record is from RNAcentral.